RNAcentral lists this ribosomal RNA (254 nucleotides) under uncultured bacterium. RNAcentral's name for it is "partial 16S ribosomal RNA". It matches the Rfam family "Bacterial small subunit ribosomal RNA", at positions 524 to 776 of the family's 1533-position model. The record is from RNAcentral.
UACGUAGGGCGCAAGCGUUAUCCGGAAUUAUUGGGCGUAAAGAGCUCGUAGGCGGUUUGUCGCGUCUGCCGUGAAAGUCCGGGGCUCAACUCCGGAUCUGCGGUGGGUACGGGCAGACUAGAGUGCGGUAGGGGUGACUGGAAUUCCUGGUCGUAGCGGUGGAAUGCGCAGAUAUCAGGAGGAACACCGAUGGCGAAGGCAGGUCACUGGGCCGCAACUGACGCUGAGGAGCGAAAGCAUGGGGAGCGAACAGG